GGCCAGACUCCUACGGGAGGCAGCAGUCGGGAAUAUUGCGCAAUGGAGGAAACUCUGACGCAGUGACGCCGCGUGCAGGAAGAAGGUUUUCGGAUUGUAAACUGCUUUAGACAGGGAAGAAACAAGACAGUACCUGUAGAAUAAGCUCCGGCUAACUACGUGCCAGCAGCCGCGGUAAUACGUAGGGAGCAAGCGUUAUCCGGAUUUAUUGGGUGUAAAGGGUGCGUAGACGGAGAAGCAAGUUAGUUGUGAAAUCCCUCGGCUUAACUGAGGAACUGCAACUAAAACUACUUCCCUUGAGUGCUGGAGAGGAAAGUGGAAUUCCUAGUGUAGCGGUGAAAUGCGUAGAUAUCGCGCAGAACUCCGAUUGCGAAGGCAGCAUGCCGGCUCCACACUGACGCUGAGGCACGAAAGCGUGGGUAUCGAACAGGAUUAGAUACCCUUGUA
Molecule: ribosomal RNA, 447 nt
Filed under: uncultured bacterium
Lineage: Bacteria
Description: bacterial SSU rRNA
Rfam family: Bacterial small subunit ribosomal RNA
Source: RNAcentral